This 507-nucleotide ribosomal RNA is filed under the name uncultured bacterium. RNAcentral describes it as "partial 16S ribosomal RNA". It matches the Rfam family "Bacterial small subunit ribosomal RNA", at positions 28 to 523 of the family's 1533-position model. The record is from RNAcentral.
GAUGAACGCUAGCUACAGGCUUAACACAUGCAAGUCGAGGGGAAACGAUAUUGGAAGCUUGCUUCCGAUAGGCAUCGACCGGCGCACGGGUGAGUAACGCGUAUCCAACCUGCCCACACUUGGGGAUAACCUUGCGAAAGUAAGACUAAUACCCAAUGACGUCCAUAGAAGACAUCUGAAAUGGAUUAAAGAUUUAUCGGUGAUGGAUGGGGAUGCGUCUGAUUAGCUUGUUGGCGGGGUAACGGCCCACCAAGGCGACGAUCAGUAGGGGUUCUGAGAGGAAGGUCCCCAACAUUGGAACUGAGACACGGUCCAAACUCCUACGGGAGGCAGCAGUGAGGAAUAUUGGUCAAUGGGCGAGAGCCUGAACCAGCCAAGUAGCGUGCAGGAUGACGGCCCUAUGGGUUGUAAACUGCUUUUAUAAGGGAAUAAAGUGAGUCUCGUGAGACUUUUUGCAUGUACCUUAUGAAUAAGGACCGGCUAAUUCCGUGCCAGCCGCCGCCGUAA